GUAAAUUAUUUAUAACUUGAAGGAUAUAUUGUAAUGGCUAGAAAAACAAAUUGAAUCAAAAUAUAUUCACAGUAAGAUAAUUUACAAUAUUUAAGUAUCUCAUAAAUUUACAAAGCCGUUCUGUAUCAAUAUUUGGACAAGCUAUUGAAAAUAAGAAUACAUACCAUAUAAUAAUGUCAAUAGCAAACGAGGGCCUUCCGUGACCGAUUGUUCUACGUAGUCAUACUACUGUAUCACUAGUACUAGUCUGCUAAUCUUUACACUAGCACUGUGAGUUCAUUUCCCGAACAUUACAGGUGCGUUCGACUACAAUCUUAAUUAACCAUGAUGUCAGUUUUACUACCGAGGUUCGUUGGUUCUCUCGGGGCACUCUGACUUCCUCCGCAAAUAAAAAAAAAUGACCACCGCGAAAAAAGCAAAUAGUAC
RNAcentral lists this long non-coding RNA (426 nucleotides) under Mytilus galloprovincialis (Mediterranean mussel). Lineage: Eukaryota; Metazoa; Mollusca; Bivalvia; Mytilida; Mytilidae. The record is from RNAcentral.